Molecule: ribosomal RNA, 1392 nt
Filed under: human metagenome
Description: bacterial LSU rRNA
Rfam family: Bacterial large subunit ribosomal RNA
Source: RNAcentral
GGAGGUUGGCUUAGAAGCAGCCAUCCUUGAAAGAGUGCGUAAUAGCUCACUGGUCAAGUGAUCGUGCGCCGACAAUGUAGCGGGGCUCAAGCACACCGCCGAAGCCGCGGACCCAUGACGUUGUUCCCUUCACUGUCCCACUUGUUGGGGUGGUGGCAGGGGUUGUGGGUGGUAGGGGAGCGUCCUGCACCGGGGGAAGCCUGUGGGUGACUGCUGGUGGACGGUGCGGGAGUGAGAAUGCAGGCAUGAGUAGCGAUACUAGGGUGAGAAGCCCUAGCGCCGAAUGACCAAGGGUUCCAGGGCCAGGCUAGUCCGCCCUGGGUGAGUCGGGACCUAAGGCGAGGCCGACAGGCGUAGUCGAUGGAUGACGGGUUGAUAUUCCCGUACCGGCGAAGCACCGCCCAUGCUGACGCGCGGGUGCUAACCCACGCCCAGCCACCAAGUUCAGCUGCGCCUACUCCUUUCGGGGGGUGGUGUGGUUGUGGUGGUGGGGUCUGGGGAUCCUCCGUGCAGGUAGGCAAGCGUGUUAACAGGGGUGACGCACAGUGGUAGCCCGGCGGACCUGAUGGCUUGGUCCGUUCAAGCGCGCAGCCCGUCCUCCAGGUAAAUCCGGAGUGGCUGUCUUUGAUGACGGGGGUGAGGCGUGAUGGUGACCCCACGCUGGUGGGGGAUAACAGGGUGAUCCUGGGGUGCCGAGAAAAGCCUCGACGCGAUGGUGCCAGCCGCCCGUACCCUAAACCGACACAGGUGGUCGGGCAGAGUAUGCCUAGGCGCACGAGUGAAUCAUGGUUAAGGAACUCGGCAAAAUGCCCCCGUAACUUCGGGAGAAGGGGGGCCCGAUCCCUGAAACAGCUGGCCUGUUAGGGGGGAGGGUCGCAGAGGCCAGGGGGAAGCGACUGUUUACUAAAAACACAGGUCCGUGCGAAGCCGUAAGGCGAUGUAUACGGACUGACGCCUGCCCGGUGCUGGAAGGUUAAGAGGAACCAUCAACCCCCUCCUUUGUGGGGUGAAGUGGUGAAUUUAAGCCCCAGUAAACGGCGGUGGUAACUAUAACCAUCCUAAGGUAGCGAAAUUCCUUGUCGGGUAAGUUCCGACCUGCACGAAUGGCGUAACGACUUCCCCGCUGUCUCAACCAUGAGCUCGGCGAAAUUGCAGUACGAGUAAAGAUGCUCGUUUCGCGCAGAAGGACGGAAAGACCCCGGGACCUUUACUACAGCUUGGUAUUGGCGCCCGCUAUAGCUUGUGCAGGAUAGGUGGGAGACUGUGAAGCCGUUACGCCAGUAGCGGUGGAGUCGUCCUUGAAAUACCACUCUGGUUAUGGCGUGCGCCUGAACCUGGGCCCGUGAUCCGGGUCAGGGACAGUGCCUGGUGGGUAGUUUAACUGGGGCGGUU